This 2034-nucleotide unclassified non-coding RNA is filed under the name Amphimedon queenslandica. Its description in RNAcentral is "uncharacterized WD repeat-containing protein all2124- like, transcript variant X3". The record is from RNAcentral. Lineage: Eukaryota; Metazoa; Porifera; Demospongiae; Haplosclerida; Niphatidae.
GAUUAAUUAAGUUCUAAUUAACUUAUUAAAGUUAAAUAAAUUCAAAAUGGCCGCCAGUAAAGAGCCUGAUGUAUUCUUCACUGCAAAUCAUUCCUGGGGAGUUGCUAGUGCUAGACACGUCUCAGGCCUACCAGUAAAUGAAAUUCCUUUCACUUUUGAUGCUCCACUCGGUCCUUCAGUGGUUAGGUGGGACCUCAGUAAUGGAGAGAGAGUCAGAAGCAGACAGAUUCACUCUGACCUCAUCGUCUGCAUGAGAUACUCUCCUAAUGAUGAGUACAUAGCAACUGCUAGCACUGGAGGAGAGGUCAAAGUAUGGAGUCGUAGCUCUUGGGAUCUCAUAGCAGAAACCAUUGCUCCUAUCGACUCCUUGUUUCAUUUGAGUUGGUCUCCUUCGAGUGAUUGCAUUUUAAUUAUUGGUAAUGGAAGGAACUCUUCAGCUCUUUUAUACAAACUGGAAAAUGGGAAAAUGGAAGAAGAUGGCGACCAAAAAGUCUACAAAGAAAGACUGAAUCUAUUGUGGAGUACAAGGGCUGGCCUUUCGAAAACAAGAGAAUCAACUAUUGAGUCACAUGACCAGAGGAGCAAGUCACCUGAGCAAUCGACUGGCAAGGACUACUCGUAUAAAGAUGCUUUUUACAUGGGAGAAGUGAACCCAUCGAACAAUGUAUUCAUUGUUGAGGAGAGGGAGGAGUCUUGUACUCAGUUGCACCUGUUGGACGGGGGUACUGGGCUACCGAUAAAGACCACACCCCUCUCUUCAUUGUCCGGUACAAGGGAGGCCCACACUUUGAUGAUGUCAUCAUUACAUGAUGGACUGUACGCUUUGAUGGUUGAGGGUGGGUAUGUUGUCAUGGUAACAGCGGAGGAGCUUGAAAUCGUUAACAUAUACAACAUUGGUUUCUCAUCAAGGACUUGUGCAUGGGAUAAAGACCUUUUGUUGUUACCUUCAGAUUCCGGAAAACUGACCUGGAUUAAUGUACAAAAUGGUUCACCAGUGCAGGAGAUUAGAGUUGGUUCCAGUGAUUAUAUCGUUCAUGUCAGUUUGUCUUCAACUUCUGGUCUUUGGUUGUGCGGGUUUAGCCGACUUUUAUACUGUACAAUGGAGAGGAAUGAUAACGGUGUUCCUACUAAAGUAGCAGCUACUCAUCAAGUCUCAACUCAUGAAAUAAGUUGCUGUGGUGUCUCAUUCUCUCCUCUCUCCUCUCUCCUCUCAGUUGGUGAUCUGGCGGGCAAUGUCUACCUUUACAGCUGCUCCGAGGACAUAUACAUACCACUGGAGAUGUGGAACGUUGGUGGUUCUGUGAGAUGUUUGUGUUGGUUAGAUAAUGAUUGCGUUCUUGUUGGUAGUCUUGAUGGCUCCAUCCACUUAUGGAGGAUCGGAGGAGACAUCAAACCAUUCUUGUCAAUGGAAGGUGGAAUAAUUCACAUCAGAUGUAGCAGUGAUGGAAAGUAUUUUGCUGUUGGUACUUCCUCUGGUAAAGUGGGUGUCUAUCUUUACAAUAAAGAGGGUGGGGUCACUCCACCCACUCCUUGUCCUGUGAGUGUAUUCAUGGCCCAUUACCCUCGGCCUGAUGUCAAGGACAGUCGAUUUGGUCAGCUAGGACAUCAAGCUGAAGUUUGGAGCCUUUGUUGGGACCCUACUGAUAGAUACCUAGCGACUUGCUCUGAAGACCAAACUGUACGGAUAUGGAAGGCGGAGUCUUGGAUAGGCGUGGCUACUCUUAAAGGACACACUCUUGCUGUUACUAGUGUUGAUUGGGCUGAUGUUAAUGGGCGGAGCUUGCUAGCAUCUUGUUCAGAUGACAGAGUAAAGAGAAUACUAUUAGACUGUACCAGUUUCUGUUGGAGGGUGAAUCAUUUGAUUUGUUAUUUACAAUGAAUACUAAGAGUAUCUAUGGGUGGCACACACUAACUUAUCUAACUUUUAAACUGCAACCGGACAAAUCUAGUGCCCUCCUGGUAGUUACCACACAGCAUGGAUACAUUGUGCUAUUCAAUAUUAUCAAUGGAUCAAUGGUAUCGUCUCAUAAAAUG